UACGUAGGGGGCGAGCGUUGUCCGGAGUUACUGGGCGUAAAGCGCACGCAGGCGGUCUGCUAAGUUUGGAGUGACAGUUGGUGGCUUAACUGCCAAAGUGCUUCGAAAACUGACAGACUUGAGGGCUUCAGAGGGACACGGAAUUCCGGGUGGAGUGGUGAAAUGCGUAGAGAUCCGGAGGAACACCAAAGGCGAAGGCAGUGUCCUGGGGAGGACCUGACGCUCAGGUGCGAAAGCCAGGGGAGCGAACGGG
Molecule: ribosomal RNA, 253 nt
Filed under: uncultured bacterium
Lineage: Bacteria
Description: partial 16S ribosomal RNA
Rfam family: Bacterial small subunit ribosomal RNA
Source: RNAcentral